Molecule: ribosomal RNA, 497 nt
Filed under: uncultured bacterium
Lineage: Bacteria
Description: partial 16S ribosomal RNA
Rfam family: Bacterial small subunit ribosomal RNA
Source: RNAcentral
GAUGAACGCUGGCGGCGUGCUUAAUACAUGCAAGUCGAGCGAACGGACGAGAAGCUUGCUUCUCGGAUGUUAGCGGAGGACGGGUGAGUAACGCGUGGAUAACCUCCCUAUAAUUCUGGGAUAACUUCGGGAAACCGGAGCUAAUCCCGUAUAAUCUUUUGAACCGCAUGGUUCAAAAGAAAAAGACGGUCUUGCUGUCACGUAUAGAUGCAUCCGCGCUGCAUUAGCUAGUUGGUAAGGUAACGGCUUAUCAAGGGAACGAUGCAUAGCCGACCUGAGAGGGUGAUCGGCCACACUGGAACUGAGACACGGUCCAGACUCCUACGGGAGGCAGCAGUAGGGAAUCUUCCGCAAUGGGCGAAAGCCUGGCGGAGCAACGCCGCGUGAGUGAUGAAGGUCUUCGGAUCGUAAAGAUCUGUUAUUAGGGAAGAACAUAUGUGUAAGUAACUGUGCACAUCUUGACGGUACCUAAUCAGAAAGCCACGGCUAACUACGUG